Molecule: long non-coding RNA, 4738 nt
Organism: Triticum aestivum (bread wheat)
Lineage: Eukaryota; Viridiplantae; Streptophyta; Magnoliopsida; Poales; Poaceae
Exons: 3
Source: RefSeq, a predicted model, not a curated record
GAGAAAAGAAAAUAAAAAUAGCCCAUCCAGCAGCACGACCUGCCUGCAAUCCUGCAGCGCGCCGCCGCCUCCUGCCCGCCCCGCCUCACGGCGCGCCGUCGGCCACCCCCUCCGCCGAGCGCCGCCACCGCCUACCCGCCUCCCAUCUCGGUCCCCGAGCGCCCGACCCGGCCGUCGUUCGUCGCCAGCACCUGCGGAUCCGGCUGACCCUCGCCUUCCCCGUCUGUUGCACCUCCUAGCGCCGCCACCCCACCCCUGCCAUGCUCUGCCGCCUGGAUCCACAUCCCCACAACCGGAAAGGGUCCUCCUCGAGGAGCUGCGCAUCCUCUGCCUGCUCCAACGCUGUACACAUCCUCUGCUUGGUUGACUCCCACCGCCUACGAUCGUUGCUGCCGUCUGAUCAGGAACAUGCAGGUUUGUAUUGUUUCCAGUGUAUGUUGGUCAUGCAUCGGAUGUCACUCGGUUUCUAGGAAUUUCAAGAUGGCAUCAAAGAAACCAACAAACAAGGAGAGAAAACUUAAACAAGAGAGAUGUAUGAGGAUGCCGGUGUCUCGUCAAACAUGUAGGCUCCGUUCGGUUUACAGGGAAAAGCAAAGGAAUCAAGAUCCUGUAGUUUUUCUCCCCUUCGAUGCGUUCGGAACACAGGAAAUGGGAACAGUAAAUUUAGGGAAAGGUGGGCCCAUCCACACGGUUCCAGAGGAAUAGAAACAUCUGCCUCAAUCUCAUUUUUCUGGCGUAGACUUGAGCAAGAGUGAAGCUCAGUUAAUAAACAAUGUUUCCUUGCAUGUGGCAUGUACGACACCACACAUUUGUUCUAUUUUUUUAAUCGGCCCAACUAUCAGUUUCCUAUGGUUCUUGCCCCUUUGAACCGAACACCGUCUUUUCGUUUCUAUCCUUCAUUUUCUACUCCUUGGUUUUACCCCAACAAUCCUAUGCCUUCAAUGAUUCCCGUCGUUUUCUUUCCCUCCAUACCGAACGGGGCCGUAUUGUGUGAGGACACCCUUCGUCCGACCUAAUAUUGACGAUCAUCCGCAGGUACACACAUACAUGUUCUUCCCUGCCGCCUCUUGGUUUAGUUCACAUGUCUUGAAUUACUUUGAUCCUUUUGGUAACUUGGUUUGACCUCUGUGAGGAAUCUACAGCAGCACUUCAAAACUCCCAGGUUGCUUUCAUCAGCAAGCUUACAGCUGCCACAUGGUGGAACUCAAUAAUACAACACUAUACGAUGCACCUGAGAUUCCAAUGGAUACCUGUCGAAGCGAUGUGGUCAUCAGCAUGUAUGCUCUCAAGCUCCUGGUAGAGCAUUUUCCCUUAAACGAUGCUAUUGUCACAUGAUGCAUAUCAUGGUUCUGUUGGUUGGUAAUUUGACCUGCACAACACUUGCUGAUAUUAUCCUUUCCAGGAUGCAGAAUGAUUCUUCAAUUUGGGGUGCCAACUAUGCUAGCUUUAUAUUGCUGAAUGUAGGAGCUUAUUAUUUUCUUGUUAUAUUAGUUAUUCAAUGAUAUUGGGCAGGGAAUCUGAAUGAACUAUUCUUUCUGAUUCCUGGAGUUACAUGUGUGAUUGCUUAGACUCUUCUAAUUCUGUCAUAGUCUGGUUGGUUGCUUGGCUGAAAUAGUUUCUUACGGGCCUCCUUCUGGACCUAUUCCCACUUAUAUAGAAUAUAUUUUCCACUGGUUUCGUCAAACAAAAAAGUCAUAUACAUUAAAUAUUUAAAGUUUUGUCUUGUUCAUACUUUCUAAAGUCUGAAAUUGUACUGAAAUCAGCAUAGAAAUUUCGCAAGUAAGAAUAUUAAAGGUACCCGUGUCAUUCAUCCCUACUAGAUGAUAAAUGCUACUGCUAUUUUUUUCUCAAAGAUGCCUCAUUUUCAUUAAGAAGAAAGCUCAAUAGACCAAAAUUCCAUAUCAUUUCUUCUUUCUUAAGGAAAACUGACUACAGGUAGCAAUCACAUGUUCAGCCUAUUUUUAGUUGACAAUAUACUGAAUAAUUUGACAGUGAACAAGCACAGAACAUGCUCUCAAGAAGCGAUAGUUUUGAACCUGAAUUUAUAAAAGAAAAUGAACCAAUUCGUGUUGAAAAUAUCUUAGGCAGCAAAUCCACCAGGUUUGAGAUGUUCACAGAAACAUGUCAGUUUCAGGAAACUAUAAUUCAGAAUUGUCUAUCUAAUCCAUCAGUAAGCAAGCAGAGGCCAUGUUGUCAAGGAACAGAGUUCAAAAACCAUCAAUCUCAGGAACACUCUGACCAUGUAUUUGAUUCUGUUGAAUACCCAAUAUAUGAUAAGAUGCUAUUUUCAUUUGCUAGGCAACCAUGAAAAAGUUUCAGCCCAAUUCAUAAUUUAAAUUAGUCCUGUGUGUUCUUUUAUUCAGUUAUUCUAAUUUUACUCCUGUGUGUUCUUUUAUUUAGUUCUGUGAGGAAGAAGAAGGGAUUACAUCGAUGUGUAAUAUAUUCUUUGUUCUGCAACCAUACCUACAUGGGAUUAUAGUUCAGUUAGAAAUCUGAGUUUAUUUUCCUCCGGAAAUGAGCAUUAGCCCUCAGAACAGAAACGAACCACACAACUAUCCUCCUACUUAAUUAUUAGUCUGUAUGUUCAUUAUUACAGUAAGUUCAAAAACUGCAUUUGUGUAUUUGUACCAAGCUUUCUUGCUCAUCUCAUUCUGUACGUACCAUUUUGUAUGUCGGAAAGCAAUGGUUUCUAUAUAGAGCUAUAGUUCAUCUAUAUGUUUCUGCUAUAUAUUAUUGAUGUGUUUCCCUCACCUGCUAUUUGAAUGACAUAAUCCUUCAGAUCUUUCCCAAGUUUGGUGUUAAAGCUAACAAGACUCCUCCUUCCUGUAAAUACAACUUUGAACGAAGGAAAGCAAGACAGGGCCGCCUUUAUAUCUUGGAUCACUCCAUAGCAGGGAGCAAGAGUGGGCACAUCCGAGUUUAGAUAUUCAGUCACCGUUUUGCAAUCCAUCUCAAGCUCCACGGGUCCUCUGAAAACUUUUGCCAGAGCAUGCAGCCGAACCAGGGUUGCCCGGGCCUUCAGCUUCCUCCACACUAUUGGAAAAUGGUAACUGAUAGUAUGUCGACAGAUAAACUUAGCCUCUGUAAUCCCUGGCUACAGCCCCCGCCCAUCCCAGCCACUGAUCUGCUAAAAACUUGCGUCGGUGUUCAACUACGCCGAGCCCUGUUCGGGCGGUGGACUACUGUAUGGGUGGCAGUGAAAGAGGUAUUUAUGUGGUAAAGGACGGGGUCAGUUGUUCCUUUCCCUUCUCUGAACUCAUCUUUUCCAUCGCAUUGCCCAACUCUUCCUCGUACUUCUGCCGGAAGCUGACAGAGUGCAGAACAUAUUCUUUUCCUUCACAGACUACUACAACGCACAGGCAUCUUCACGAAGAGAACAUAGGGAUUUUAAGUUUUGUAUAGCCUGCACUGGAGGCUGUAGAGUUAAGUUUUUGUACAUUUUGCGAAUCGUUUUGUUCUAGAUUCUCUUAGUGUAUAUAGUCUAACUAUAGAAGAUUAUUUACUAUCUGCAAAUUUGCUUUUUUUUUCCAUUGCUGAUCAUGUCCUCUCUGUGCACUUGCAUCCUUCUGUUAACAGUUUAGUGAUCUAAUGAGUAUUCAGAAGGGACGCUGCAUGUUCCUAGAUGCAUAGCUUUUCUUAUAUAGAUUUUCAUUACAAUGUUUUUUUUGUCGAAUUCUCACAAUGAAAUCCGAACAAACCAUACCUUUAGAGGCCAACAUAAUGGCACUUAAAAUAAAUGCUAAUUUGCACUCACGCUGCAAUCUGGUGCCCAUUCUUCUGGUGAUUUGGUCAAAUCUACAACCAAGCAAAGAUAUUUUACAUGCUAUAAGAACUAAGUUAUGGAUUUUGUGUUCCCAUGUCUAUAAUAUGUGUGCUCUGUCGGUUCCCUGCAAGCUCUUUCGGCCAUGACCUCAAGUUCUGCAGCUAGGCUGUGAAUGUGUUGGUCCUUCUCACCGUCCACCGAUGAUGGUGCCCAAGAUAAGUGAUGGAAGGAGAAAAGGAUGUUGCUGUCGCGCGGUCGUCGGAACGACUUGCCGUGGACGUGGCCAUGCACUGGAUGCCAUCGACGACUAGCCUCCGCAAAAUACGAAUGCAUGGGAUUCUGCUACAAACAUUGGGGAGUGUGUACUGUUGCGGUGCUGUGACAUAUACACUCUGUGGAAGAAACCCCUGUUUGAUUUACAGGUGAUGCUGAUUCGUCUGGAAUCUACUUUUGAUAGAUCAAUCUAGUUUGUUGGCUGCUGUGUGGCUUCAUGUGACGCUGCAGUGCACUACGGAGAGGUACAGGUCCCCAGAACUACAUGUAUGUACCGAAUUGUUUCAUCUGUCGAUUUUGACGUUCAAUAUUGACUCCUUGAUCCCGUUUCUUAGGGGUCAUGAUUGGCAAUUGGUCGUGGGCAAUGAACUAAAAUGUCUAUUAAAUGUUCAUGGAUAUCUUAAAAGGAGAACAGUUCAGACUUUAGAUGUACAUUAUAUUUGAUGCAUCAGUCUAAUCUGUACUUCAAAUUACAGUGUAUGAUUUGUUUGGACACUACAUAUAUAUUUGAUGGAGCCGUCUAAGUUAGACUAUUGGACAUGAAAUUACAGUGUACAAUUUCCAUCCAACUUACUAAUUCAAUUUUACUUAUUUUUAUAAACUCUUUAAUAAUAAUUAAACAACAUAAUAAUCUAGAAAAUAUUUUCCGAAGGAUGUUUUUUACAUCUUCCUAUAUCAUUUUGAUGUGAGAUGGGUUGUAAA